Long non-coding RNA from Erigeron canadensis, 364 nucleotides. RefSeq lists it as uncharacterized. The record is from RefSeq and is a predicted model, not a curated record. The transcript has 3 exons. NCBI's taxonomy places the organism in Eukaryota, Viridiplantae, Streptophyta, Magnoliopsida, Asterales, Asteraceae.
GGGUCCCUUCUACACGUUGCAUCUCCUUUUUUGGGCUGGGUAUUGGGCUCGGUACAGAGAAAUAACAAUUUUCUUACAUCUUAGCACAGGAAGGCUACAUAGGAGAGUCUUUCUUUAUGUGUUUUUGGCAUGAUGUAACCGACAGGAUCAGUUCGGUGAUAAAUGCAACAUCACUUAGAGAACAUGGUCAAGGACUUCAAGUUCUCCAAUAUGAAACAGGACAGAAUUAUGAAUUUCACUUUGACUAAUUCAAUGAUGAUUAUAAAACCAAGAACGGGAGUCAACGGGGAUAACUACAGUUCUAAUGUACCUAUGAUUUCCAUGCCGGUUAUCGUGGUCAUAUGACAUUCAAAUAGUUUUGCAG